RNAcentral lists this small nuclear RNA (58 nucleotides) under Cervus elaphus hippelaphus. Lineage: Eukaryota; Metazoa; Chordata; Mammalia; Artiodactyla; Cervidae. The record is from RNAcentral.
AUGAUUGGAGCUCCUAGGGUCAUGAUUAAUGGCUCUGCAUAAUCAGGAUUUGCAAAAU